UGUUAAAAAUUUCUAUCUAUUUCUAUUGUUCAAAAUAGACAUGACUGACAGAAUAAUCAGACAGUAACAGAUGACAUGCCACGUGUACAGAAACUAAUUUUUACCAGCAAAAAUGGAUGAUAUUUUUAACA
Gossypium raimondii (Peruvian cotton) is the source of this 131-nucleotide non-coding RNA. The record is from Rfam. NCBI's taxonomy places the organism in Eukaryota, Viridiplantae, Streptophyta, Magnoliopsida, Malvales, Malvaceae.